GCGGAUCUUCAUUAGCUUGCUUUUGAAGAUCAGCGGCGGACGGGUGAGUACACGUGGGCAACCUGCCUGUAAGACUGGGAUAACUUCGGGAAACCGGAGCUAAUACCGGAUAAUCCUUUCCCUCACAUGAGGGAAAGCUGAAAGACGGUU
This 150-nucleotide ribosomal RNA is filed under the name uncultured Bacillus sp. RNAcentral describes it as "partial 16S ribosomal RNA". It matches the Rfam family "Bacterial small subunit ribosomal RNA", at positions 66 to 213 of the family's 1533-position model. Lineage: Bacteria; Bacillati; Bacillota; Bacilli; Caryophanales; Bacillaceae. The record is from RNAcentral.